UACGUAGGUGACACGCGUUGUCCGGAUUUACUGGGCGUAAAGAGCGCGCAGGCGGUCGAUCAAGUCGAGUGUGAAAGCCCCCGGCUCAACUGGGGAGGGUCAUUCGAUACUGAUCGACUCGAAGGCAGGAGAGGGUAGUGGAAUUCCCGGUGUAGUGGUGAAAUGCGUAGAUAUCGGGAGGAACACCAGUGGCGAAGGCGACUACCUGGCCUGUUCUUGACGCUGAGGCGCGAAAGCUAGGGGAGCAAACGGG
RNAcentral lists this ribosomal RNA (253 nucleotides) under uncultured bacterium. RNAcentral describes it as "partial 16S ribosomal RNA". It matches the Rfam family "Bacterial small subunit ribosomal RNA", at positions 524 to 776 of the family's 1533-position model. The record is from RNAcentral.